Molecule: ribosomal RNA, 315 nt
Filed under: uncultured Erysipelotrichaceae bacterium
Lineage: Bacteria; Bacillati; Bacillota; Erysipelotrichia; Erysipelotrichales; Erysipelotrichaceae
Description: partial 16S ribosomal RNA
Source: RNAcentral
GGAGUCUGGGCCGUGUCUCAGUCCCAAUGUGGCCGUUCAUCCUCUCAGAUCGGCUACGCAUCAUCGCCUUGGUGGGCCGUUACCUCACCAACUAGCUAAUGCGACAUGAACCCAUCCCAAUGUGAAGCGUACGCUCCUUUAAUAAUCUUUAGAUGCCUAGAGAUUACCUAUCCGGUAUUAGCGUUCUUUUCAAAACGUUAUCCCAGUCAAAGGGGUAGGUUGUUCAUGUGUUACUCACCCGUUCGCCACUGAUCCAGCACCGAAGUGCUUUCACCGUUCGACUUGCAUGUAUUAGGCACGCCGCCAGCGUUCAUC